UUUCUUCCCUUCUCCCCAGUUUUUUAGUCAGUUAUAGAAUAUUUUUCUUGUACAUUGUAGACUAAGGAUACGGUUGGUUAUAGUAAACUGGGGAAUCUGGAUUUAAUGACAAGAAGCCACCUUUUCUUGACUUUGGGGAUUGUGUGAAUUAAACGGUGACUUUUCAACCUGGGUACAUAUCAGUAUAAUUAAGGAUAGGAAGGUCGAAUAUGAUAGGAUUGAGAAAUAAUUGUGUAUAUAUAAGGACCACUAAGCAGAACAAGUCACCCAAGUGGAGUACUCUGCUUUACCCGAAAUUUUUGUGUGCAUUAUAGGGUGUGUAGCAGAAUAUAGGGAGGUAGCUUAGAAUGUACUUAACAGCAGGGAUGUUGGCCCU
RNAcentral lists this long non-coding RNA (376 nucleotides) under Bos taurus (domestic cattle). RNAcentral describes it as "long non-coding RNA NONBTAT024809". Lineage: Eukaryota; Metazoa; Chordata; Mammalia; Artiodactyla; Bovidae. The record is from RNAcentral.